CCUACGGGGGGCUGCAGUGGGGAAUAUUGGGCAAUGGGCGCAAGCCUGACCCAGCAACGCCGCGUGAAGGAAGAAGGCUUUCGGGUUGUAAACUUCUUUUCUCAGGGACGAAGCAAGUGACGGUACCUGAGGAAUAAGCCACGGCUAACUACGUGCCAGCAGCCGUGGGAAUACGGAGGUGGCAAGCGUUAUCCGGAUUUACUGGGUGUAAAGGGCGAGUAGGCGGGAAUGCAAGUCAGAUGUGAAAACCAUGGGCUCAACCUGUGGCCUGCGUUUGAAACUGUUUUUCUUGAGUACUGGGGAGGCAGACGGAAUUCCUAGUGUAGCGGUGAAAUGCGUAGAUAUUAGGAGGAACCCCAGUGGCGAAGGCGGUCUGCUGGACAGCUACUGACGCUGAGGCGCGAAAGCGUGGGGAGCGAACAGGAUUAGAUACCCCAGUAGUC
RNAcentral lists this ribosomal RNA (443 nucleotides) under uncultured bacterium. RNAcentral's name for it is "partial 16S ribosomal RNA". It matches the Rfam family "Bacterial small subunit ribosomal RNA", at positions 338 to 795 of the family's 1533-position model. The record is from RNAcentral.